UGAUCCUGGCUCAGAUUGAACGCUGGCGGUAGGCUUAACACAUGCAAGUCGUGCGAGAAAGUAUCUUCGGAUAUGAGUAGAGCGGCGGACGGGUGAGUAACGCGUAGGAAUCUACCUAGUAGAAGGGGAUAGCCCGGGGAAACCCGGAUUAAUACCGUAUACCUCCUUCGGGAGAAAGAAGGCCUCUCUUUGAAGCUUUCGCUACUAGAUGAGCCUGCGUAAGAUUAGCUUGUUGGUGAGGUAAAGGCUCACCAAGGCGACGAUCUUUAGCUGGUCUGAGAGGACGAUCAGCCACAUUGGGACUGAGACACGGCCCAGACUCCUGCGGGAGGCAGCAGUGGGGAAUAUUGGACAAUGGGCGCAAGCCUGAUCCAGCCAUACCGCGUGUGUGAAGAAGGCCUUCGGGUUGUAAAGCACUUUAAGCAGGGAGAAAAAGUUAUAAGUUAAUACCUUAUAACCCUGAUGUUACCUGCAGAAUAAGCACCGGCUAAUUCCGUGCCAGCAGCCGCGGUAAUACGGAAGGUGCAAGCGUUAAUCGGAAUUACUGGGCGUAAAGCGCGCGUAGGUGGUUUGUUAAGUUGGAUGUGAAAGCCCUGGGCUUAACCUAGGAACUGCAUCCAAAACUAACUCACUAGAGUACGAUAGAGGGAGGUAGAAUUCAUAGUGUAGCGGUGGAAUGCGUAGAUAUUAUGAAGAAUACCAGUGGCGAAGGCGGCCUCCUGGAUCUGUACUGACACUGAGGUGCGAAAGCGUGGGUAGCGAACAGGAUUAGAUACCCUGGUAGU
Molecule: ribosomal RNA, 785 nt
Filed under: uncultured marine bacterium
Lineage: Bacteria
Description: bacterial SSU rRNA
Rfam family: Bacterial small subunit ribosomal RNA
Source: RNAcentral